GACGAACGCUGGCGGCGUGCUUAACACAUGCAAGUCGAACGAUGAAGCCCAGCUUGCUGGGUGGAAGAGUGGCGAACGAGUGAGUAACACGUGAGUAACCUGCCCUGAACUCUGGGAUAAGCACUGGAAACGGUGUCUAAUACUGGAUACGACCUAUCACCGCAUGGUGUGUGGGUGGAAAGAUUUAUCGGUUCUGGAUGGACUCGCGGCCUAUCAGCUAGAUGGUGAGGUAAUGGCUCACCAUGGCGACGACGGGUAGCCGGCCUGAGAGGGUGACCGGCCACACUGGGACUGAGACACGGCCCAGACUCCUACGGGAGGCAGCAGUGGGGAAUAUUGCACAAUGGGCGCAAGCCUGAUGCAGCAACGCCGCGUGAGGGAUGACGGCCUUCGGGUUGUAAACCUCUUUUAGUAGGGAAGAAGCGAAAGUGACGGUACCUGCAGAAAAAGCACCGGCUAACUACGUG
RNAcentral lists this ribosomal RNA (467 nucleotides) under uncultured bacterium. Its description in RNAcentral is "partial 16S ribosomal RNA". It matches the Rfam family "Bacterial small subunit ribosomal RNA", at positions 28 to 507 of the family's 1533-position model. The record is from RNAcentral.